RNAcentral lists this unclassified non-coding RNA (348 nucleotides) under soil metagenome. RNAcentral's name for it is "partial contains 5.8S ribosomal RNA, internal transcribed spacer 2, and large subunit ribosomal RNA". The stretch from base 1 to 119 matches the Rfam family "5.8S ribosomal RNA", at positions 35 to 154 of the family's 154-position model. The record is from RNAcentral.
GAUGAAGAACGUAGCGAAAUGCGAUAAGUAAUGCGAAUUGCAGAAUCCGUGAGUCAUCGAAUCUUUGAACGCACAUUGCGCCCUCUGGUAUUCCGGAGGGCAUGCCUGUUCGAGCGUCAUUAUCACCCCUCAAGCCCGGCUUGUUGUUGGAUGCAGCGCUUAUCCCGCUCCUCCCAAAGAUAUGACGGCGUCUGCGACGACUCCUGUACACUGAGCUUUCGGGCACGUACACGGCUAGAAGUCCAGACCCGGUCGCCGCCCCCCCCGCGGGGACACCCAUUACCACAAGGUUGACCUCGGAUCAGGUAGGAAUACCCGCUGAACUUAAGCAUAUCAAUAAGCGGAGGA